This is a long non-coding RNA of Pectinophora gossypiella (pink bollworm), 1360 nucleotides long. RefSeq lists it as uncharacterized. The record is from RefSeq and is a predicted model, not a curated record. NCBI's taxonomy places the organism in Eukaryota, Metazoa, Arthropoda, Insecta, Lepidoptera, Gelechiidae. The transcript is spliced from 3 exons.
AUGCGUUAUCUCUUAUUUAUCAUUACACGCUAUAUUCUCCACGUAGCUAUACAUAUAUCUAGCUGCGUAUCGUUCCACGUGUUGACUUCCUAAGAUGUUAGAACCAUAACCCCAGAAAAUUCGACUGUUUUUUUUUUAAGAACGUCUAGGGCCCUGGGGGGCUACCGGCUAAGACGAAGCCGAUUCAGAUUGGAGCAAAUCGAACAUCGAUUUGAUUCUGUCGUACCGCGUAAGCAGCCAAGAUGGCGAUCCCCGAUUCGUGACGUCACAUGAAGUUCGGCAAGCCGAUUGAACGAAUGAUUUCAGUACUUUUGACACUAAAUCGCUACCGCGUAAAAAAUCGAAGUUCGGCGCCUGAAGCCGAUUCCCAUUGGAAGUGUCAGUUGAAGCCGGGCACUUUUCAGUAACCGUGAUCAAUUUUAAUUUCUUAUUUUCACUGUUUUUCACCAAUAUUAGGAGCUAUUUACGGUGGGCGACAAAUUUUAGGAACAUCUUAAUCAAUAUAAAAUUAAUAUCGGCGUGGAUUUUCGUGUUUAAAUACCUAAAUACAGUGUCAUGGAGAUAGUCGUUUUAUGGGCUGCUGCGGAAGAAAAUGUCUUCAGAAUCUUGAGCAAAUCGAUUGCAGGAUACUUCGAGAGAAAAGCCAGUAUAUACUUCUCACAGAGAGUAGCUACAUUAAUAAUUUUAGAUUAUCAAAAGACGCAUUUCGGACUUUGUAUCAUGACUUAGGACCAUAUCUAGAGGUCCAAUGCUCUACAACUGUGCAAUCGACUUUAAGUGACAAAUGCCCUCAAUCAGCCUGCAAUCGUGAGAUAAUAUAUCAAGUUUCCUCGGACAAAAACUGAGCAUGUAGAAGUCUCCAGAGGUUUUAAUGACAAAUUUGGAUUUCUUGGAGUACUUGGAUGCAUCCACUGCACACACAUUGCCAUUAUCCAACCUCACAAGUGGGAAGAGGCCUUCUGCAAUAGCAAGUAUUACCAUUCAUUGCAUGUUAUGUUGGUAAGAAUCAUGCCUUUAACUAGCUACAUUUGUUUUGAUUCUUAUGAUUGAGUCGCUAAAAAUAUUUUAAUUUUCAGGUUUGUGAUGGAGAUAUGUGCAUUACAUUUGUGAUGCAUCCAAUGGGAGUGUUAGUGCUAGACUGCUAGCCAAGAUAACCAUAUUUGGAACAGCACUUUGAGAAGGGAAAAGGAACAUCUCCUUAAUUUAAAUAUGUUUAAGUUCAUUAAGUGGACUUGUGUGGUCCUUGAAAUGUAAAUUACAAAGUCAGUGUGGUGUAAUCAAAAGUGGCAGAUUUGUUAUUCAAUAAUACAACAUCUAAACAAACCUUUCUUUAUUGGCAUCCAAUAAACUAUUUUCAUUA